GACGAACGCUGGCGGCGUGCUUAACACAUGCAAGUCGAACGAAGUGGCGAACGGGUGAGUAACGCGUAAUCAACCUGCCCUUCAGAGGGGGACAACAGUUGGAAACGACGGCUAAUACCGCAUACUGAAGGAGGGGAUGGCGUCUGAUUGGCUAGGUGGGGGGGGAAAGGCCCACCAAGGCGAGGGUCAGUAACCGGGGUGAGGAGUAGAACGGUCACAAUGGGGCUGGGAAAAGGGCCAGGACUCCACGGGGGGCAGGAAGGGGGAAACUUUCGAAAAUGGCGGAAGUCUGGCGGAGGAACGCCGCGUGGUUUGUGACGGCCUUCGGGUUGUAAAGCUCUGUUAAUCGGGACGCGGUACCGGAAGAGAAAGCCACGGCUAACUACGUGCCAGCAGCCGCGGUAAUAC
Molecule: ribosomal RNA, 408 nt
Filed under: uncultured bacterium
Lineage: Bacteria
Description: partial 16S ribosomal RNA
Rfam family: Bacterial small subunit ribosomal RNA
Source: RNAcentral